RNAcentral lists this ribosomal RNA (440 nucleotides) under Nigrospora sp. ASR-286. Its description in RNAcentral is "eukaryotic LSU rRNA". The stretch from base 94 to 247 matches the Rfam family "5.8S ribosomal RNA". The record is from RNAcentral. Lineage: Eukaryota; Fungi; Ascomycota; Sordariomycetes; Amphisphaeriales; Apiosporaceae.
CCGGGACCCAGCGCCCCGGGCGGCCCGCCGGCGGACAAACCAAAACUCUUGUUAUCUUAGUUGAUUAUCUGAGCGUCUUAUUUAAUAAGUCAAAACUUUCAACAACGGAUCUCUUGGUUCUGGCAUCGAUGAAGAACGCAGCGAAAUGCGAUAAGUAAUGUGAAUUGCAGAAUUCAGUGAAUCAUCGAAUCUUUGAACGCACAUUGCGCCCAUUAGUAUUCUAGUGGGCAUGCCUGUUCGAGCGUCAUUUCAACCCCUAAGCACAGCUUACUGUUGGGACUCUACGGCCCCCGUAGUUCCCCAAAGCCAUUGGCGGAGUGGCAGUAGUCCUCUGAGCGUAGUAAUUCUUUAUCUCGCUUUUGCUAGGCGCUGCCCCCCCGGCCGUUAAACCCCCAAUUUUUUCUGGUUGACUCGGAUCAGGUAGGAAUACCCGCUGAACU